Molecule: ribosomal RNA, 460 nt
Filed under: uncultured bacterium
Lineage: Bacteria
Description: partial 16S ribosomal RNA
Rfam family: Bacterial small subunit ribosomal RNA
Source: RNAcentral
CCUACGGGUGGCAGCAGUGAGGAAUAUUGGUCAAUGGACGAGAGUCUGAACCAGCCAAGUCGCGUGAAGGAAGACUGCCCUAUGGGUUUUAAACUUCUUUUAUAAAGGAAUAAAACGAGGCACGUGUGCCUUUUUCCAUGUACUUUAUGAAUACGGAUCGGCUAACUCCGUGCCAGCAGCCGGGGUAAUACGGAGGACCCGCGCGUUCUCCGGAUUUAUGGGGUUUAAAGGGAGCGUAGAUGGGUUGUUAAGUCAGUUGUGAAAGUUUGCGGCUCAACCGUAAAAUUGCAAUUGAGACUGGCAGUCUGGAGUACAGUUGAGGUAAGCGGAAUUCGUGGUGUAGCGGUGAAAUGCUUAGAUAUCACGAAGAACCCCGAUUGCGAAGGCAGCUUAUUAAACUGUGACUGACAUUGAUGCUCGAAAGUGUGGGUAUCAAACAGGAUUAGAUACCCUUGUAGUC